This is a non-coding RNA of Phalacrocorax carbo (great cormorant), 3338 nucleotides long. The record is from RefSeq and is a predicted model, not a curated record. NCBI's taxonomy places the organism in Eukaryota, Metazoa, Chordata, Aves, Suliformes, Phalacrocoracidae.
AUUCUUUCCACUGACAGAAACAGUGAGUCACUACUGUCCUGUGAUUGUUCCCUGGCCUUUUAGCAAAAGGCUGCCUGCAGGGAUGAAAGGAAAGUCCUUUCUCCAUGACCUACGCUGGGGGUUAGCAGCCUACCAAGCUCCAGCAAAACAUAACACGUGGGCUGAUUUUGAGCAGUGUAAAGCAGAGAACGAGGGCUGUGAGCCAUGGUAUCUUGAAGGACACAAGCUGGGAGAGAUGGUGACUCCCAGCUUCAGCCUCCCACUGUUUUUCCAGCAACAGCUGCCCCACGAUACCGCUGGUCGGAUGAUUGGCAGCAUGUUAUCGCCUCCCCCAGGCAGCAUAAGUAUUAAUCUCUGGUGAAGUAUGCCAGCGCUCGCCCCGGGUUGGCGUUACGCAGACCAGACCAGAUAAUGCCGGAGCAAGGACAGCAACGGGGCAGCAGCUUCUGACGAGGGCGAGAAAGCAGCCGUGAGACAGGAUGAGCGUUCGGGAUGGAGCAGGACAUGGGAGAACAUCGGUGCCAGAUUGAGUAUGUUAAGCAGCAUCUAGGUUGCCAGGUUCAGGCCGAGAGCAGGGCUCCUGGACACCAGCAAAACCAAAGGCUGAAGGUUCCACGUUAUGGUGUCGUACGUUGCCACCAAAUGUGCUGCCCCCGGAGCACAUGUACUGUGAUACGUGAGCAGCUGGGGACGCAGGAGCGAGCUGUGCAUGACAGUGCUGGUCUCCGAGGCGUUCAGCCCAAGCAGCGUGUCACUUAAAUCCACUGAAGUUAUUCGGAACAAACCCUUUUUUGAACAUUAGCAUACACUCAAAAGGGAAGAAAAAGCUUCUUUAGUGCCUGGCCUACUUUUACCCAACUGGUGGAAGUCAGUGCCAUGAAGAGUUUUGAAGAGGUCAACAUCUAGCGAUCUUCCUGUGCUGACCGUUGUUUUGCGUGACCCUCCCGAUGGACCUGUCCCAGGCCUCCUCUGUGUUCAAGAAAAUAAUUUUUCUAACAAAACUUUAGGCCUGCCACCAUCCUUGCUGUCAAACUAUGAGGGCUUUCGUGGGAUAUUACUGACCUGAUGCACUGUAGGAUGGAGCUUCCUAACACAGGAGAAGAACUGGCUGGUGACUUCCUUGAUUGAAAGCAAAACGUUAGUGGAAUGGAAUGCACAUCUGCCAACGAUGCUCUAGGUAUUAACAAGCAUUCUGUGCUCAAGAACAAAAAAAAUGCAUCCGUAUUGCUUUGAAAGAGGAAGAGAGAAAGAAGACCAAAAGUAUACCUUGCUGUUAAUGGACUGCUCUGAAGUAUAAACAUAGGCAGUAUAGAAUAGAGUAAGUCACCUGAAAAUUGUUUGCCAUAGUUGCCAUUGUUUUCCAUGGUUUCUACAACCAUGGAAAAAAACCACACAAUGUACUUGUUUUUCAGUUUUUACUUCCUCAAAGUGGUAAAAAUAGUACUCUUUUCAUCUACUUCAGAGGAGCGUUGUAAAGACAAAUAUCUUGAGUCUUGGCAACUGCUAAGAUCCUUCUGUGUGCAAAUAACCAUGGUGUGUCUUCAGAGGAAAUCUCUGUAAAGGCCUGUGAAAGGGUUUUAUCUUAUCUGACUGCGGUUCUCCUAUCGCACUGCCCAUGCUACCCCACCUUGCUGGCCACAAGGUACUUGCAGUGUUUUAUUAACUCUCUUUGUCUGCUUGACCAGUGUCUGUUUGCUGGUGCUUUUGUGCCAGAAGUUUCCGCCAAGGGCUGAGAUUGAUGCCUGCCAAGGGAAGGUGGAGGAUUGAAAGAGCAGUCCCUGGUGAGAUGACGUCCUUCUGAGCAGAAUGAAAUUCAGGAGUACCUUCUGCGGGGAAGUUGGGCUGAUUUAAGAGAAAAUGUGGGGAGAUGAAAAGCAGUCACCACUGCGUUACGGAAAUAGGAACAGAAGGGGAAUAGGAUGCAUUGAGUGGGAGGGAUAAAAUGUAAAAUAACAGGGUCAGUACUGUUAAAUCUCACAUGACCUUGUGUUUAACUAGGCACAUCAAAGGCUGUGUCUUCUCCAGAACGACAUGUGCUCCUUCCUUACCUCACUUGGUACUUAGCCUUUGCUUGCGAUGGUGAAUCAGACAGGUCACCGCAGUGCUUUGCUCUAGCUUGUCUUGCACAUAGCAGGACACCAAAUUGAUGGCUGCUCCUCGCCCUGAGACUCCGAGCUCCUCUUGGCUUUAGCACAGUGAGUUCCCUCUGAUCUGAACGUCUUCAGCUGUUGUCCUCUUUGCAGGGGGCCCUCAUGUUUGGCAGCCACUUCUGGAUCAGGCCCAUGCAACUGCUACUGCGGCUCGUCUUCUCCAGCUUAGCUCCAGGUUAUCGGAGUCUGAGGAUGAAGUCAAAGAUCUUUGAUCCUGACGAAGCCACAGUGCAUGUGACGAAUGUGUUGGCAGCUGAGAGGCAGAGGGACCAGGACAGGUUUCAUCAGAAAAGGGUUGAGCAGUAGAGAAGGAAAUUGUUUCAUGGCUAGUUCUGAGAGGAAAAACAGUCUCAAAAAAAAAUAUAUCUGUGGUUGAUUUAUAUUUCUAUUAUAGGCUUAUCCUGUUAGUUUGUUCUUGGAGAAGAGCUGUUCCCUGAGGUACGAUUUAUUCAUUUUAGAAACUCUCCUCCCCCAAGAAACUUGCAACAGUGGAAACAACAAAUGUUGGGACUGCGUUUGAAGGAGGAAUCUAGCAAAAGCGAUUGAGCAGCUGUAUUCAAGGCUGCAUGCAAUGGCUAACUCUCCUGGAGUGCAACCACUCAGCAUAAAUAGUUGAGGAAUGCUUGUUCCUCAAACAGGAGGAUUUUGAGAGUCAUAAUGGCUGUUUUAGAAGUUUCCCCAAAGCAGCAUUUCUCCCAGAUUCUGUUAAGGUGAUGUUUUGGUGAUGUUAAGGUGAUGAGUUGCAGAAAAAAAUAAUAAAAAGAGAAUUAUUCUCUAACGAUAAUCAGAUAUUUUGCUUUGGUUUUUAUUGCACGGGUGUCACGGUGAAGGUAGAGGAUGGUGAGUGUAGUGAGGGGCUGGACGGGCGCAGGAGACAUGAAAGACAAAGCUAGGCCGCGAGCUUGCAGAGCGCAGGAGACCUUCGCACCCAUGAAGACGCUGCUGCUGAUUCAGGCCUGUGGCUGUGUGCACACCCAAGAAAUACACAUGUGCUUAUAGAAAACAGAUUUAAAAGGUAAUCGUGAAAUUGCUUUAGAGCUCUGGAUGUGUUUGGAAGUUUGUGACUGGUUGUCAGUGAUGUCAUGACCAUAUUUAUUAUAGCUCAUAAAUGGAUGGGUCUGACUGUUUUCCUUAUUUUAAUGUAUAAAUUGCAGUUUAUAAUGGCAAUAAAACACUCCAGGCUGUGCA